UCGGUUUCGCUCCUAAGUGCAUGUUUCGUCGACGUGUAUAGUUCGAUUUUGUAUAUCAUGCUUUAAUUCAUCGAUUAGCAUUUUGGACGUAAUAUGAAUAUAAAAGCAUGCUGAAAUGAAUGUUUAUAUUAUACAUGUUGGACUUGAAUUUUGACUUAGGAGAAAACCUACGUUUUGACCCGUCAUAUGCUUAAACUACCAGAUUUAGCUCUAGGAGCCGUGUUUCGAUUGUAUCGUUGCCGUAUCAGUGCGAUGGAUACCUAAGGUAGUUUAGAAGGCAUUUACGCUCGUGCUGGGAUGCCAAGCUUAUUUUUCAGCAGAGUAUAGGCUGUUUCGGGUCGUUGGGUGCCGUUCGGGAUAGCGGUGGACCCAGAUUCUUGUUUUGGUCACAGAUUGUGCCGAGGGCACGUGGGUUUGGUUUGUAGACCUGUUUUGACCCUGUUCACUUGACUUUGGCUAGUUGGAGCCUGAUUGAGCUCGACAGAGAUAUGCUGCAUACUCGGUUGGGUAGCGUCCACGAGUGCCACUCCGGAGUCAUGCUUUGUGCUUUCGCGUUGAUGUCGCUCAUGCCAGUUGGACUUACUCUCCACGGACCAGUUAGUGUGGAUAGAGCCUGAUAGUCGCAACGGGGCAGGGACGGGUGUAUUCACAGUCCCGGGGACGGGUAUGCCUACAGUCCCGAUUGGAUUGGGUCAGAUUUGACAUUUCCUACAGUUGGUUAGUGUAGAGCAUGAUAGUGUAGUGAUUGAUAGCGGUAGAGUGUACUUCCUGCUUUUCCUACUAUUUUUGCUCCUUUCUGUAGACUUAGUGGGUGGACCGAUGUUGUUUUGGGCGGUACCCACUGAGGACUACUUGUUUUUACAGUAAUUCUCACGCCCAGUUGUUACCCGUUUUUGCAGAGCCUUCCUUUUCGGCUGCUGCUGUUGCUGAUCGGAUCUAGGCAAGGGCGUCGCGAGUUAGAGCCCUACCCGAGGAGGAGAGCUAGAGGCACCCCUACUGCAGGUAGAUGUUUUGGUUUGGGUUCAUGUACAUACAGACUUUUAACUCGCCAGCGCCAGUAGUUUUGUACUCUGGGAUUCAGUGUAUGUAUAUGGAACUCGGUUUCUUUUACUUUACUAGUUCUUCUAGCAGCUCUAUACUACUGUUUGUAGUAUUGUAUGUUUUACAGGUACAGCUGUCGCUUCGUAUACAGGGAAAAUUCCUUUGUAUACGGCGGAUUUGUCGGCGUGCCCGGGGGAUGUGUAAUCCGGGGCGUGACAAAUUAAGUUGGUAUCAGAGCUUUGCUGUAGGUCGUGGGGACCUAGGAAACCUAUGUUUAGCAAACCUUAGGGAAGCAAGACGCGAGAGGCGUAAUCUAAUUGCGAAAGUCACUGAUUAGUUGUUCUAACUCCUCCGUGAGUGGGGUGAGUGAUUGAAGGAGUACCUGUUUUGGCCUGAGAAAUUAUGUUGGCUGCAGACGACAUAAUUUUGGAGGGAAACAGGGACCGCCUUCCAGACUUUCGUUGAUUGGGUCGAGAGUGUUGUAUUGUAUCCGACCCCGAUUUGUUCCUUUCAGCUAUGUAUCGUCGCCGAGGUCGACCGUCGUUGCGGGAGUGUGCCCAGUUGGCACGGGAUCGUGCUAGACCUUCUGAGAGAUCUGAGCAGAUGGAGCAGAGUACUCGGCAGGAGCAGGGUGACAGACCGGAGGCGAGUGCACCCCCUGUUGUGGAGCCGAGUACGCGACCUGAGGCUAGCGCACCCCCUGAUCUGAGUGCACAGUUAGCUGCCCUGACCGACGUGACGAGGCAGCAGGGGGAGUUGUUGCAGAGGUUGUGUGAGAGGGUAGCUCAGCUACUGAGUUCAGCACCGAGAGUACCAGAGUCGCCAGUUCCACCCCCGACUACUCCAGUGACAGUACCAGCUGCAGCAGUCCCUCCGCCAGCAGCAGUUCCAGUAGCGCCAGUUACGCCUGCUGGGGGGCCAGUACAGUUGACUUAGGCCGAGCAGGAGCGGUGGACGGAGAGGUUGGCUCGUUUUCGCCGAUUUGACCCACCGAUUUUUGAUGGCAGAUGCACUGAGGCCUGGGUUGUUGAGGGCUGGGUCAGUGCGAUGGAGAAGCUAUUCGAGAAUCUUUUCAUUCCUGAGGUGGAGCGAGGUGAGGCAUCGCUGCAGGAGAGGACUCAGGCCAUGGGGCAGAGUCAGGACAGGAAGCGCCCUUUCCGGACGGCGGAGGACAGUCGAGCAGCAGACGUCCGCCGAGGCCUCCACGAUCACGUUCUCAGGGUCGUGGGUCUUCGGGGCGUCAGCGUUCCAGGGGAUUCCGUCAGCAGGGGCAGACUCAGAGGACGCCACAGUGUGUGAUUUGCGGGGGACCACACUAGCCCCGGCAGUGCGAGCAGAGAGAGGGCAGAUGCUACGGAUGUGGUCAGCCGGGACACAUGAGGGCAGCUUGUCCCCGAGCAGCAUCUCCAGCACCAUCAUCAGCUUCAGCACCACCAGCACCACAGCAGUCUUACGGAGCAGCACCGAGUUACCGCCAGGAGGACAGAUCGUCUGUGCCGCGUUAGGGUGAGCGGCGAUUGCAGGCUCCGAGUGGCAGAGUCUACGCAGCUCAGGUGGAGGACUCUACAGCAGCCGACAGAAUGGUGGCAGGCACGAAAGGUGCAGAUCUUCGACCAUGUCUUGCAGGUUACAGAGUGUUGUUGGUCCUGUCAAGUGCAGUUAGACUCUUGGAUCAUGCCCGCAGACCUGUUGGUGUUAGGGCAGCUGUAGGACUUCGACGUAGUGCUCGGUAUGGAUUGGCUGGUGCGGUACUAUGCCACUAUCGACUGUGGAGCGAGGAUUGUGACGUUCCGCGAGCCAUGCCAGAAGGAGUUCACCUUCAGAGACCGGAGGAGCACGUUAUUUGCCACAUGGAUAUCUUCGGCGAGGGCUCGACAGCUGAUGAGUAGAGGAUGUGUUGCUUUUCUAGUGACUGUGACAGAGGUGCCUACGGCGGCGCCGGGACUCGAGGAUAUCCCUAUAGUCCGCGAGUUUCCGGACGUGUUUCCCCCGGAGUUGACGACGAUGCCGCCGGAGAGGGAGAUAGAGUUUGAGAUUGAUGUAGUUCUUGGAACUGCACCAAUCUCAAAGGCAUCUUACAGGAUGGCACCGGCAGAGCUGAGAGAGCUAAAGGCGCAACUUCAGGAUCUGAUGGAUAGAGGGUUUGUGAGACCCAGUGUGUCGCCUUGGGGAGCGCCGGUGUUAUUUGUAAAGAAGAAGGAUGAUUCGCUCAGGUUAUGUGUUGAUUACCGGAAGCUGAAUAAGGUGACCAUUAAGAACAAGUAUCCUCUGCCGCGCAUUGAUGAUUCGAUCAGCUGCAAGGAUCUUGUGUCUUUUCGAAGAUUGAUCUCCAGUCAGGCUAUCACCAGCUGAGGGUGAGGGCCGAGGAUGUUCCCAAGACGGCUUUUCGGACUCGGUACGGGCAUUAUGAGUUCACGGUGAUGCCUUUUGGAUUGACGAAUGCCCCUGCCGCAUUCAUGGAUUUGAUGAACUGAGUGUUCAAGCCGUUCUUGGAUAGGUUUGUGGUAGUCUUCAUCGACGAUAUCUUGAUAUACUCCCGGAGUGAUGCUGAGCAUGAGGAGCACUUGAGGAUUGUGCUACAGCUUCUGCGCGAGAAGAAGUUGUAUGCCAAGUUAAAGAAGUGCGAGUUCUGGCUACGGGAGGUUGCUUUCUUGGGCCAUGUGAUUUCAGCUGAGGGCGUAGCAAUGGACCCGAAGAAGAUUGAGGCGAUUCGAGAUUGGCCUAGACCGACGACGGUUAUUGAGGUACGGAGCUUCCUGGGACUGGCAGGAUAUUACCGUCGGUUUGUGGAAGGCUUUGCGAAGCUUUCCACACCCCUCACACGCUUGACGCGGAAGGGGAUUCGUUUUGUCUGGAACGACGACUGUCAGAGGAGCUUUGACGAGUUGAGAUUGAGGUUGAUGUCGGCUCCUAUCCUUGCCCUUCCUGUUAUGGGCGAAGGAUUCGUGAUCUACAGUGAUGCAUCGCACAGUGGACUUGGUUGCGUGCUGAUGCAGCAUGGUAGGGUGAUUGCUUAUGCUUCACGGCAGUUAAAGGAUUAUGAGAAGAAUUACCCUACGCAUGACUUGGAGCUUGCCGCGGUAGUCUUUGCUUUGAAGUUGUGGCGGCAUUACUUAUACGGCGAGCACUGCGAGAUUUUUACUGAUUAUAAAAGUCUCAAGUAUCUGUUCACCCAAGAGGAGUUGAAUUUGAGGCAGCGCCGGUGGUUGGAGUUGCUGAAGGACUAUGACAUUACUAUUCAGUAUCAUCCCGGCAAAGCGAAUGUGGUGGCAGAUGCGUUGAGCAGGAAGGCAGUGCAGAGCUUGAGUAUGUUGAUCACUCGGCAGAGACCGUUACUCGAGGAGCUGAGACGGCUGGGACUCGAGGUAGUUUCCCCUGGAUUUACUGCGAGAUUGACGUCUAUGAUCUUGCAGCCCACUCUGUUGGAUAGGAUUCGAGAGAAACAGAGUGGAGAUCCACACUGUCGAGGAUUCGAGAGCAGCUAGACAGGGGGCAAGCUGAGGGUUUUGCUGUGGACAGUUCGGGAGUACUGCGGUACAGGGACCGACUGUGUGUACCUAUGGAUUCAGAGAUCCGAGAGGACAUCUUGCGAGAGGCUCACUGUUCACCUUAUACUGUUCACCCCGGUGGAACCAAAAUGUAUAAGGAUUUAAAGGCCCAGUUUUGGUGGAAUGGAAUGAAGAGGGACAUUGGUAGAUUUGUGGCUUAGUGUCUGACUUGUCAACAGGUGAAGACCGAGCAUCAGGUACCUGCUGGCAAGCUUCAGAGUCUACCAGUGCCCGAGUGGAAAUGGGAGCAGAUCACGAUUGACUUUGUCGUUGGAUUGCCGAGAGCACAGGGUGGUUUUGAUGCGAUUUGGGUGAUAGUGGACAGACUGACCAAUUCUGCUCACUUCCUACCAGUGCAGACCACUUGGUCCAGAGAAAGACUCGCUCAGUUGUAUUUGGAUGAGAUAGUGAGGUUGCCUGGCGUGCCCACUUCGAUAGUAUCCGACCGGGACACGGGGUUCGUAUCACGCUUUUGGAGGAGUCUUCAGACGGCCUUGGGCACUCAGUUGCAGUUCAGCACAGUAUUUCACCCACAGACAGAUGGCCAGUCUGAGCGGACCAUUCAGACUCUAGAGGACAUGCUGAGGGCAUGUGUCUUGGACUUUGGAGGAGGGUGGUAUCGGCAUUUGAGACUGGUUGAGUUUGCGUACAACAACAGCUAUCAAGCGAGCAUCCAGAUGGCUCCGUUUGAGGCGUUGUAUGGACGCAGAUGUCGAUCCCCUUUGUUUUGGAGUGAUGUGGGUGAAAGGAGGACGCUUGGGCCUGAGAUUCUGAUUGAGACUGAGGAAAAGGUAAAAGAGGUGCGACGGCACAUAUUAGCAGCCCAGAGUCGACAGAGGAGCUAUGCUGAUACCCGGAGACGAGACUUGGAGUUCCAGGUGGGAGAUCAUGUUUUUCUUAAAGUCUCGCCGUCCAGAGGGAUUCGCCGAUUUGGUGUACGUGGAAAGCUCAGUCCACGUUUUGUAGGCCCUUUCGAGGUAUUGGAGCGAGUCGGGCCAGUUGCUUACAGGAUUGCUCUACCACCACGGCUAGCCGGCAUUCAUGAUGUGUUCCACGUCUCGGCUUUGAGGAAAUAUGUGUUCGACCCCUCCCACGUGAUCGACUUCACUCCGCUUGAGAUUGGCGAGGACCUGAGCUACGAGGAGCGACCGGUGCGGAUUCUGGCUCGUGAGACGAGGGAAUUGCGCAACCGGGUCAUACCCUUUGUAAAGGUGCAGUGGAGUAAUCACGAGGAGCGGGAGGCGACUUGGGAGCUUGAGACGGUGAUGAGGGAAGCCUAUCCCUAUCUGUUUGAUGCUUGAGUAGAGGUACGUUCAGUUUCGCGGACGAAACUUUUUGUAGAGGGGGAGGAUGUGAGAUCCCUGGUGUUUGACUGUGGAGGCUUGUCGACAGCUCUGGAGAGUGUCGGGACAAGCCCGAGUCGCGUUGGCGUCAAAUAGACGUAAAACGGACUCCGUCGGACGCGAGAGCAGCCUUCAGCGAAGAAAUCUGCGAAAUAGCAGAUUUUCCUGCUGGCUGUACCGGUACAGCCAGCGAGGUGUACCGGUACGCUAUACUGGCUGAGCGCGUACUGCUCUCGGGUUAGCUUCCUGUACCGGUACGCGAUCCCGUGUACCGGUACACCAGAGUAGGUGAGGGGCUUUUUAGUAUUUUUACCUUGCCUCGUUUGUAUCUCCUUCACUCCCCUCUAUAUAGUUCCGUGUAAGGAGAGAGAGAGAGGCCUUCUUGCUGCAAUUCUCCAUCUCUCUCACUCUCCCAUCCGGUUGAAGGCAAGAGGAAGCUCGGAUUCGUCGCCGACGUCGCGCCGCGGAGCCGUUCGGGCAUACUUCCGUCGUCGUGUUGCUGCGAGCAGGCCGGGCGAGCGGAGGUUUUCGCCGUUUUUCUGUCGCAGCGGUGCCCGGUGUUGUCGAGGUGAGUAUUUCAGCAUUUCCCUGGAUUUUGGGCAAGUUUUUACUACUUCGACUCGGUAAAUUGUUGUUUGCUGAAAUCCACCGUCGACUGUUAGUAUUUCAGCUCGUUCUCGACGUAGGAGCAUCGGAUUGCGACGAGACUUGGCUCGUUGGAUUCAGGACUUCGAGAGGAAUCCACGAAGCCCUUACUUGCGAAUUUUGGUGAAGGUUAGCUUGGUCGAAACCCUUCCCUUCUCUGCUGCGAUUUCUGGACUGAAUUGGUGAAUUUUGUUGCGUAGAGCUCGGGCUUAGGCGAUUUCUGUACUCGGCGGGUUCCGGGUGAUCCAGCAGGUUGCUCUACACCAGGGGGAGUCCUUCGCUGCCAGGGAUUAGCAUUUUAGGUGGGUUACAUCGGUUUUACUCCUAAGUGUUAUUAGUCGACAUGUAUAAAUCGUGAUUUCUACAAUAGUUGUUAGCUCAAAUUCAUGGAUUAUUGUUAGAAUGUAAAAUCUGAAUUUUCGAGCAUAUUUUAUCAAGUAAAUAGAUUAUACAUGUUGGACUUGGAAAUUGAAUUAGGAGAAAACCUGCGAUUUGGACCUGUCACCAGUUUUAACUACCUGAUUUAGCUCUAGGAGCCGUUAGAAAAUUGUACUGUCGCAGUUUCUUCGAGACGAGUACUCCAGGUAGUUUAGAAUGUAUUUACACUCGUGCUGGUUCGCCGAGUGGAUUUUUACAGGGUCGUUCAGGUUGUUUCGGACUGUUGGGUGCCGUCAGAGUUGACGGUGGACCCGUAUCGCCUUUUUGGCGUCAGAUUGUGCCGAGGGCACGUUACCUGUUGGUUGUUAGACCAGUUUGAGUCGAUUACUUGACUUUGGCUAGUUGGAGCCUGAUUGAGCUCGACAGAGAUACGCUGCAUACUCGGUUGGGUAGCGCCCACGAGUGCCACUCCGGAGUCAGGCUUUGUGCUUUCGCGUUGGUGUCGCUCAUGCCAGUUGGACUUGCUCUCCACGGACCAGUUAGUGUGGAUAGAGCCUGAUAGUCGCAACGGGGCAGGGACGGGUGUAUUCACAGUCCCGGGGACGGGUAUGCCUACAGUCCCGAUUGGAUUGGGUCAGAUUUGACAUUUCCUACAGUUGGUUAGUGUAGAGCAUGAUAGUGUAGUGAUUGAUAGCGGUAGAGUGUACUUCCUGCUUUUCCUACUAUUUUUGCUCCUUUCUGUAGACUUAGUGGGUGGACCGAUGUUGUUUUGGGCGGUACCCACUGAGGACUACUUGUUUUUACAGUAGUUCUCACGCCCAGUUGUUACCCGUUUUUGCAGAGCCUUCCUUUUCGGCUGCUGCUGUUGCUGAUCGGAUCUAGGCAAGGGCGUCGCGAGUUAGAGCCCUACCCGAGGAGCAGAGCUAGAGGCACCCCUACUGCAGGUAGAUGUUUUGGUUUGGGUUCAUGUACAUACAGACUUUUAACUCGCCAACACCAGUAGUUUUGUACUCUGGGAUUCAGUGUAUGUAUAUGGAACUCGGUUUCUUUUACUUUACUAGUUCUUCUAGCAGCUCUAUACUACUGUUUGUAGUAUUGUAUGUUUUACAGGUAUAGCUGUCGCUUCGUAUACAGGGAAAAUUCCUUUGUAUACGGCGGAUUUGUCGGCGUGCUCGGGGAAUGUGUAAUCCGGGGCGUGACACGCACCCUCCAAAUCAGUACUCCGGAGUAGCUUAGCGACAGAUUGCUCGCUUAUGUACAAACUUGAGCGCCGAAAUGGAUUGCUGUGGAUAGUGUUGACUUCUACGGGGCCAUUAGGCACGGCGCGGCUGGGACUUUACCUUGUGUAAGUCUCGUGUUAAUUGGGUUAUUUUAACCUCAGCUAGACAUAGUAG
This 8349-nucleotide long non-coding RNA is filed under the name Ananas comosus (pineapple). RNAcentral describes it as "long non-coding RNA (ACOM_LNC031485)". The record is from RNAcentral. Lineage: Eukaryota; Viridiplantae; Streptophyta; Magnoliopsida; Poales; Bromeliaceae.